CAAGGUUAUCUGAAGCUGAAAAGUAGGAUUUUGAUUUGAGUGUCGGUAGUUAAUCUAUCUGUGUCGGUAGUUAAGCUGUAAGCGCACUAUCAAAACUAGCGAGUGUUGCUAUCUCCAGCAUGGGCGUCUUUUAUCCGAAGAGCAGCCUCAUCAAUCCAAGAGAUGCAAGUUCCUAGCUACAGUUCUGAAGGAAGCAUUUUCGAAUUGCCAUACAUUCAAUGAACGAUGGUCGGAUUCUGGUCUCGAGGAAGAAUAUUCAACAAGUGCCAUCCAUGAUGAAUCUGAAGUAGUUGUUUCGGAAAUUCGAAGUCGAGUAAUGGAGAAGAUGAAGCACAGACGGAGUCACAUUUCUGAAAGCCUUUCCUGGGUAUUAUCUCCAUCAACAGGGGAGCUUCAUAUAACCUCAAGGCAGGCCAAACAACGAGACAGAUGAUAAAGAAGAUGAAAAAGAUGAAUUCUUUUCCAUUGGAAGUUGCUUCUCCUUUUAUUCGAGUGCUGCGAGCGAGGAAGCAUUUCUAUCAGCUAAAACGAA
Molecule: long non-coding RNA, 532 nt
Organism: Hibiscus syriacus
Lineage: Eukaryota; Viridiplantae; Streptophyta; Magnoliopsida; Malvales; Malvaceae
Exons: 3
Source: RefSeq, a predicted model, not a curated record